This 406-nucleotide ribosomal RNA is filed under the name uncultured bacterium. Its description in RNAcentral is "partial 16S ribosomal RNA". It matches the Rfam family "Bacterial small subunit ribosomal RNA", at positions 30 to 526 of the family's 1533-position model. The record is from RNAcentral.
AUUGAACGCUGGCGGCAGGCCUAACACAUGCAAGUCGAACGAGCGGCGGACGGGUGAGUAAUGUCUGGGAAACUGCCGGAUGGAUGGGGAUCACUACUGGAAACGGUAGCUAAUACCGCAUACCAUCAGAUGUGCCCAGAUGGGAUUAGCUAGUAGGUGGGGUAACGGCUCACCUAGGCGACGAUCCCUAGCUGGUCUGAGAGGAUGACCAGCCACACUGGAACGUAGACACGGUCCAGACUCCUACGUGAGGCAGCAGUGGGGAAGCUUGCACAAUGGGCGAAAGCCUGAUGCAGCCAUGCCGCGUGUGUGAAGAAGGCCUUCGGGUUGUAAAGCACUUUCAGCGGGGAGGCGUUACCCGCAGAAGAAGCACCGGCUAACUCCGUGCCAGCAGCCGCGGUAAUUC